Molecule: ribosomal RNA, 253 nt
Filed under: uncultured bacterium
Lineage: Bacteria
Description: partial 16S ribosomal RNA
Rfam family: Bacterial small subunit ribosomal RNA
Source: RNAcentral
UACGUAGGGAGCGAGCGUUGUCCGGAUUUACUGGGUGUAAAGGGUGCGUAGGCGGACUUGCAAGUCAGAAGUGAAAUCCACGGGCUUAACCUGUGAACUGCUUUUGAAACUGUAGGUCUUGAGUGAAGUAGAGGUAGGCGGAAUUCCCGGUGUAGCGGUGAAAUGCGUAGAGAUCGGGAGGAACACCAGUGGCGAAGGCGGCCUACUGGGCUUUAACUGACGCUGAGGCACGAAAGUGUGGGUAGCAAACAGG